This is a regulatory RNA element of 59 nucleotides. It matches the Rfam family "Actino-pnp RNA". The record is from Rfam.
GCCGGUCCUCGGUAGUGGUUCCCGGGACUCGGUCCCGAGGACUUCGAUCGAUGACCGGC